AUUGAACGCUGGCGGCAGGCCUAACACAUGCAAGUCGAGCGAGCGGCGGACGGGUGAGUAAUGUCUGGGAAACUGCCUGAUGGAGGGGGAUAACUACUGGAAACGGUAGCUAAUACCGCAUACCAUCAGAUGUGCCCAGAUGGGAUUAGCUAGUGGGUGGGGUAACGGCUCACCUAGGCGACGAUCCCUAGCUGGUCUGAGAGGAUGACCAGCAACACUGGAACUGGACACCGGCCCAGACUCCUACGGGAGGAAGCAGUGGGGAAUAUGGCACAAGGGGGGCAAGCCGGAUGCAGCAAGGCCGCGUGUGUGAAGAAGGCCUUCGGGUUGUAAAGCACUUUCAGCGGGGAGGCGUUACCCGAAGAAGAAGCACCGGCUAACUCCGUGCCAGCAGCCGCGGUAAUUC
Molecule: ribosomal RNA, 406 nt
Filed under: uncultured bacterium
Lineage: Bacteria
Description: partial 16S ribosomal RNA
Rfam family: Bacterial small subunit ribosomal RNA
Source: RNAcentral